AGGGGAGUUUUUUGGUCGUCAAACAGUGGAACGUCACACCCAAUGCAUCGCUGAAGUGGUAAAAUCUCUACCUUUUUUAUUUUCAACAGACUUCCGUUGUAUGAAUAACGUCCUGUUUAAUUUUAAAAUUUUACAUGAGCAGUGCAAUUUCUGACCUUAAUUUUCUAUUUUCACAAGUUAAUUUAUCAGUACGUGUAGUCCAUCUCGAGUUAAGUUUUUAUAAUUAUUUUGUAACUUGGCUUUUCAUUUUCUUCCGAACACUUGAUCUUCAUAUGAGUAAUAAAAUUAUCACGUUCGAUAAUUUUUAUUAUCGUAUAGUCCGUGUCCCAACUAUUGAUUCGGAGAAAGAUUGAUUUUAUUUUAUUUUUCAGCAUAUAUAUCAUCAAAAAGAUCCUAACAUAUAUAUGCUAUAGCUGGUGAGAAGCUCAUAAGAUACACCAUAUAGGAGAACACGAUAGAUUUAUAUGCCUGAAUAUGGGGGUUCACUUUGUACUCUUCAUCAAGUAGUUUCACCUUGAAAUUACUAUACUAUAGUUGGUAAAGCACCUAUUAGAAGAAGAAACAGAGAGAACAUAGUGCAAAUUGGGAAUUUGGGAUAGACUUGGACUAGGAAACAUGAAUCAAUUUAUACCAGCAACUCGGGAACUAUUUCAAAUGCUAAUAUUGCCAAACUAGACUUCCAUCAGAGUGCACUAUGAUAUGGCAUUUAUGAGGUUUGUUCUUUUCAGAAAAUAUGAUUAGUGAAUAAAUAGUAAAGAAAGUUCUAAUUUGUUAUAUGUAGCUUGGGCACUACAUAUGAAAGAAAGUAAUUUAGUUAUCAUCGUUAACGUGAUUUUUUUGAAACAUAUUGACAUGAUUAUAUCAUUUCAUUUUUAUGGUAUCUAAAUGUGCCUACUAACAGAUCUCCUUGAAUUUCUUUUGUAUGUAGCAACCAAUUUGUCUAAUGUGUACGUAAAAGAUAAUAAUGUGCCUUCUUAUGGAAUAAUACAAAAGAGCGGCACUUGGAAACGACCAAUUUUAUUCUCUUUUGAUUUUGUAUAGGAUUAUUUUCGCUCCCUCCUUUGGCUGCAUUCUAGGACAUGAGAGUUUCUUGCUGCAUUCUGAGGACAUAUAAUUUUCUAGAGGAAAUGAUGCUAGCCAAGAGGAGCUCGAAUACAUUUUAUUUUUG
Molecule: long non-coding RNA, 1168 nt
Filed under: Nicotiana tabacum (common tobacco)
Lineage: Eukaryota; Viridiplantae; Streptophyta; Magnoliopsida; Solanales; Solanaceae
Description: long non-coding RNA (NTAB_LNC018901)
Source: RNAcentral